AGUGAACGCUGGCGGUAGGCCUAACACAUGCAAGUCGAACGGCAGCACAGUAAGAGCUUGCUCUUACGGGUGGCGAGUGGCGGACGGGUGAGGAAUACAUCGGAAUCUACUUUUUCGUGGGGGAUAACGUAGGGAAACUUACGCUAAUACCGCAUACGACCUACGGGUGAAAGCAGGGGAUCUUCGGACCUUGCGCGAUUGAAUGAGCCGAUGUCGGAUUAGCUAGUUGGCGGGGUAAAGGCCCACCAAGGCGACGAUCCGUAGCUGGUCUGAGAGGAUGAUCAGCCACACUGGAACUGAGACACGGUCCAGACUCCCACGGGAGGCAGCAGUGGGGAAUAUUGGACAAUGGGCGUAAGCCUGAUCCAGCCAUACCGCGUGGGUGAAGAAGGCCUUCGGGUUGUAAAGCCCUUUUGUUGGGAAAGAAAAGCAGCAGGUUAAUACCCCGCUGUUCUGACGGUACCCAAAGAAUAAGCACCGGCUAACUUCGUG
This 492-nucleotide ribosomal RNA is filed under the name uncultured bacterium. RNAcentral describes it as "partial 16S ribosomal RNA". It matches the Rfam family "Bacterial small subunit ribosomal RNA", at positions 29 to 507 of the family's 1533-position model. The record is from RNAcentral.